CGCGUAGGUGGUUUGAUAAGGGUGUGGUGAAAGCCCGGGGCUCAACCCCGGGUCUGCCGUGCCGACUGUCAAACUCGAGGGCUGUAGAGGCAGACGGAAUUCCGGGUGUAGCGGUGGAAUGCGUAGAGAUCCGGAGGAAGACCGGUGGCGAAGGCGGUCUGCUGGGCAGUUUCUGACACUGAUGCGCGACAGCGUGGGGAGCAGACA
Molecule: ribosomal RNA, 207 nt
Filed under: uncultured bacterium
Lineage: Bacteria
Description: partial 16S ribosomal RNA
Rfam family: Bacterial small subunit ribosomal RNA
Source: RNAcentral